Molecule: long non-coding RNA, 228 nt
Filed under: Elaeis guineensis (African oil palm)
Lineage: Eukaryota; Viridiplantae; Streptophyta; Magnoliopsida; Arecales; Arecaceae
Description: long non-coding RNA (EGUI_LNC064616)
Source: RNAcentral
CUGCCUUUCGAUGUUAUAGGUGUCGGCAGAAUACUCAGCUCUUUCUUCUUCAUAUUCUUUUGAGGUCCGAAAGUCCUCCACAGCCUUAAAAGCAGCCUCAACUGUUCACUUCUCCUCAGCCUCCGAUCGGGCCUUCAGCUCUCUUAUUUUCUUUUGCAGAUGAGAGUUCUCCUCGUUAGCGGCCUCGUUCUUCUUCGUCUGAGCUUCGAACUCCCUGUCUUGCCCAGC